ACAUUUCUUCAAUUGCAGCCAAAAUCGCCAUCCAGUCUUUAGAUAUUCGUUAGACUUUAUAAUAUUUCUCUAAUUGUAAAUGUGCCAGAUUGAUGAGCAUUAAAUUUAAAUUGAGUUUAUUACCUUCACACUUCUUUUUUCAAUGUAAUUUUAUACAUUUAAUAUUUAAAACACUUUAUAAGAGCUUAAAGUCACACCCGACAGCCGAUGGAUAGUGCCUAUAUCACUACCUUUACUUGGGAAGUACCAAGCCUCGUUUGUCAAUACAACUUUGACACGACAAAUCGCAAACGCACGAAGAUAGAUCAAUCUUCGGCCAAAAACGCCCCAAGGAAAGACGAUUUAACAUCGUCUGCCGACGAAAACGCCUCGGACGUCGAAACUCAACACGAGUCCGAAGUCGACGCUACAACUCAACCAGAACAUCCGGAAAAGAGCAUUGACCCGACCACGAUCGUCAUGAUCAAGGCGGUCAGCACGACGACAACCGCCGAGUAAAAAACGCUCGCAGCAUGAAACAGAACUACGAGAUGGCUUGAUCCUCGAAAGAGGUACGUAGGCAGUUUGUCAAAAGACGAGUUCAGCUAUCCCCCUCUUGCAAUAUCCCAUAGGUACGACAAAUUCAAGCCUACCAAAAUAACUUUGGUUCUUGCUGAUAGAUCCGUUAGAGUACCUGAGGGAAUACUUGGCGACGUGCCAAUAAAGAUUAACGACUGUCACAUACCAACGGAUUUCGUUGUGCUGAAAUACCCGAAUGAACCGAAAGAUCCCCUCAUUUUGGGUAGACCAUUUCUAGCUACAGCUGGUGCGAUCAUCGAUGUCAUGGAAGGAAGAAUAUGUCAAAACAUCGGAAAAAUUCCGAUGACCUUCGACAUGCAUAAGCUGAUAAGACAACCUUUAAUAGAUAAACAGACUUCCUACAUGGACUGUGGGAACCGAAAUUCACACAGUCGAUUUCCGAAAUUGGAAGAAAGUUAGGAAAUCCUAACUUCUCCUGAGGUCCCAGAUUCUCUGUGAGAGCCAACGACAAGUAACCAAAUAAAUGCGGAAAAUAUGAAAAGAUAACAAAACAAAUUUAUAGAAAAGGUAGAUCUUAUUUUGAAUCCGCCUAAGAGCGUUGGGAUCUUUACACCUCUCGCCUAGGACUCCUUAUAUACUCGCUCCUAGGUCGGUUUACGCUUUUCCUCUUCUGCUCUUAAGCCGUCAUAGCAUAAAAGUGGAGAUAUUCUAUUUUUUCCGAUGUUCGUAAUUAUCUUCAAAUUUUCGUAUUUAUCCGCGGAAACUUGACAUUUAUCUUUUCUUGCGAACCAAGCAUAAACUGUCAUGCGGCUUAUAGGCUGUUGAUUAAGAAAUUGUAAGUUGGGCCUCGAGUUAUGCCUUAGGUCCCUUUAGGCCGUCUUCUAACUCGAAGCGUUUAUUACGGCUUCUUUUGAUAAAGAACGAACUUUCCACGGUUUUUACCGCAAAGUUUGAUUGAUGACUAAGAAUGGCAGAAAACAUGAAAUGGGUUCGCUACGGUCUUCGGGAGAUAGCAUCGAAGGAUAGACGAGAAUGCAUGGACUAGUGUCGUAUCGACGUUUCGGAAGGGCUCGGUCGCUACGUAGCGACCGAGCAGUGUGCAUGUUCGGUCGUUGCGUAGUGAAUGAGCUUGGCUUGUCCGUGUUUCGAUCAUCGCACUCGAACCUAUCCGUGGCUGGUUUAGAUACGUUUCCGUUAUCUUUGGACAGCUUGUGUUUGAUCCAACCGGGACUUUAACGAGAUUUUAUCUCGAGAUCAUUGCGCCGUGAUAUAAUCUGUCGCGGAAAGAGAUUCACGCUUGUUUUUGCGGAAGUUUGGAUAUUAACUUCUUCGUAACCGUUUUUGACUCCAACAUAGUUAUUCGCCUAGCGCGGAUUAAUUCCUAGUAUUAAUCAAUUUGGGAAAAAAAAUUGAAUAGUAAAUUUCCAGUUACAACAAGACCGGAAAUUGUUAGUGGCCCCCCACCAUCUAAUCUUCUAAACACAUGGUAUCUUACGGCUGAGUUUGGCGGAGACACGGAAGUCUCGAUACUGCAAUUUAUGUUUUCCGGAUGACUACCACCACCUUAAUCUCCUCUGUUCUCUCUUCCUCUAUCUUCCCUACCGAAUAUCGCAGCUGGGUUCGAAUUCCGGCGACUUCAAUUCCCGGAGGUAGCAAUGUCCGCGUAGUGAAACAACGUCGUUUGAAAAUUAUCGCCAAAUCACUUGACCUUCCUCUUCUUCCGUUCAGUAUGAGCGAGGUUAGAAUCAUAAACCCUAAUAUUACAGCAAAUAUAAAUUUAAGUUCUUGCUUUUAACAUAUGGUUACAGGUUCUUGUACCAACGGAGAGUAAAACAUUGCAUUUGUACGAAGCAAGAUACUUGGCACUACUUGAAGAGGUAAUAAAUCUAUAAUUCCAAAAUUAUUUUAUGGAUUCACUUUUGAAAUUAAUCUAAUUACUUGGUCCGUGCAGUCGAUGAAAAGAAAAAAGAAUAUGUUUGUUCAUUUCAUUCUCGAUCCUAUUUCGAUUAGUGAGAAAGCAACAGAAGCAUCCUUUGCUGCUCGAUAUGGCUGCUUGGUACUUAUUGAAAAUGUAAGCUUCUUCUCAUGAGACUUUGAUCUUUGAUGAGUCCAUAAAAUGUAAGCUAAAAACCAUAUAUUACAGGUCGAGAGAUUAGACAUUGGAGCACUUGUCUCCAUAAGAGGUGCUGGUCGUGUGAAGAUUUCCAGAUUUUUAGGGGUAAGAAUGCAAAAUAAAAAUUAAUCAUUUUGUUAAACAUUGCAAUGUGAGUUAUGAUGUUCUUUCUCUUUGCACAAAAAACAAAUGACUAUAUGAUUUUUUUUUUGUCUCAGGCAGAUCCUUAUUUGUCCGGAGAGGUCAGACCAAUACAAGAUCGUUUUAAUUAUGAGAGCAGCAAUGAAAUAACCUCAGAAAUCUCCAACCUAAAGGAAUCUAUCAAGAAUCUCAAUAGCUUGGAGAUCAAACUUAAGGUACAACAAACCUACUUAAUGUAUCAUCCGGUCCCCUUAGAGGCCUGUAAUGUUCUUAUUAGUUGUAGUGUUGGCUUACCUCCUUUUACAACAGGCUCCAGAAGACUCGCUACUACAAACUCGUCUCCUUAACUCUUUGAAGUGGGCUGAAGAUGAGCCACCGGAAGAAUGUGAAGAAUCCUUCUUUCCUUCCCUUCAAGAACGUUUAUCAUUCGCUGCGCUUCAACCGGUUUCCGGUAACUCUUACAUUUUUUCUCUCUUGUGAUUUCAAGAGUCAAGAAGGUUUUCUGUUUAAAACUAUUAAAUUACGGCUCUGGGAGUUUCCUUUAGUAUAGCUUUUCGGGUUUUCUUGUUUUGCAGGAUCGACGCAGUCAGAACUAUCAAGGUUACAACAAGAGAAAUUAAAGGCAAUGGAUAUAAAAGAUACAAUGGAGAGGUUAAAACUUUCAAUGGGACUCAUCAAGGAGAACAUUUCUUCAAUUGCAGCCAAAAUCGCCAUCCAGUCUUUAGAUAUUCGUUAGACUUUAUAAUAUUUCUCUAAUUGUAAAUGUGCCAGAUUGAUGAGCAUUAAAUUUAAAUUGAGUUUAUUACCUUCACACUUCUUUUUUCAAUGUAAUUUUAUACAUUUAAUAUUUAAAACACUUUAUAAGAGCUUAAAGUCACACCCGACA
This 3659-nucleotide long non-coding RNA is filed under the name Brassica napus (rape). RNAcentral describes it as "long non-coding RNA (BNAP_LNC007671)". The record is from RNAcentral. Lineage: Eukaryota; Viridiplantae; Streptophyta; Magnoliopsida; Brassicales; Brassicaceae.